RNAcentral lists this ribosomal RNA (254 nucleotides) under uncultured bacterium. RNAcentral describes it as "partial 16S ribosomal RNA". It matches the Rfam family "Bacterial small subunit ribosomal RNA", at positions 524 to 776 of the family's 1533-position model. The record is from RNAcentral.
UACGGGGGGAGCAAGCGUUGUUCGGAUUUACUGGGCGUAAAGGGCGCAUAGGCGGUCGUGACAAGUCACUUGUGAAAUCUCCGGGCUUAACUCGGAACGGUCAAGUGAUACUGUCGGACUAGAGUACAGAAGGGGCAACUGGAAUUCUCGGUGUAGCGGUGAAAUGCGUAGAUAUCGAGAGGAACACCUGCGGCGAAGGCGGGUUGCUGGGCUGAUACUGACGCUGAGGCGCGAAAGCCAGGGGAGCGAACGGG